CUGUGUAUAUAAAAUGAUUUAAGAUGCGCUGGAUUAUUCACAGAAUAUUAUUAUUAUAUAUAUAUUUUUAACACAAUAUCAAUAUUUAAUUUUAAAUAUCACGGUAACCGUCAAUACCGGUAUAUCGCAACCCCCCUAAUUUACAUUUUGCAAGAAUUUAUACUUUUACAUUUCACUGUAGACAUAUUGCACUUUUUAAUCCACUAAAUGUACCUGAUGGCUGUAAUUAAACCACCUACAACAUUAAAAUACCUCUUGCACAUUAGUGCAUUUUAGUACUUUAACUUUUGUACUAAGGUACAAAAUGCUCCUUUACUUUUAUGUAUGUUGGAACUUGUAGGUUUUUUUUUCCAUUUUGGUGUUGCAAUGUUUUUUUAAAAUAGAUUUUAUUUCUUCAGCUGAGUUAUUUAACGAGAAUUUUUUUUUUUUUACAUUAUUACCUACAUAUCCAGUUUCCCACAUGGUUUCUGCAGUGAGAAUCAUCUGCUGCUGACUACAAUGGAAUUAAUCUGAGUGUACAAUUUUAAAUAUAGAUAUGUUUAAUAUAUUCAAUUCAAUGAACGCAGGUUGAUGGAAAAUAAGAGCAAAAGGGUUGGAGAGUUUUUUUUUUUUAAAUGUCAAUCAUAUUUUAUUUUGCACAUUUAUGAUUGUUUUUUUGUUAUUUGGUAGCCUGUAGUUAAAAUCCCAUCAGUGAUCAUUUUUUACCUUUAAUAUUUGUCUUUACUGUUUCUGUUGAAUUCAACUGUACAUUAUAGGGAUGCACGAUAAAGAUUUGUUUCAGCCGAUAACCAAUAAUUACCUGCUUUUACAUGGCUGACCAAUGAGAUAACCGAUAAUUUCACAUUUUUGUAUUUUCAUAAUCUUUAAUUUCAUAAACUUUAGUUUCUUAUGCACACCUGAGGUGGAUGACUUAAUAUUCCAUAGCUCUGAUCUAACCAAAUCUAACUGACAUCCCUAUUGUUAACACAACAAAAACAAACAACAGUUCUGACUCUUCAAAUAUUCAUUUAUGUUUUCUACUAAAGAACAUCAAACAUCUUCACACACAUACUUUGGCUUUUAUAGAGCAUUUUGGCCAAGAACUCAAAUUAAAUAUUUUGACAUAAUCUGUCAAAUCAGACAUAUCAAUGUGUACUCAAUACACGUGUAAAUUGGCGGAUCGCAAACCAACUUUAAACGUGCAUAACGCCUCCUACUGUAUCAAAAUGUGUAGAUGCUGCGCUUGUUAAGUAAAUUAAGGCUAUUUGGCUUUGCAUUAUCGGCAGAUGAUUUAUUGGUUAUAAUUUCAUUAUAGGAAUAAUACAUAAUAAUAUAAAUUUCCCAUUGUCGUCCGAUAAUUUAUCGGUCCGAUAUAUAUCGUGCAUCCCUAGUACAUUAUUAUUCCAUUUGUCACAUCAUUUGUGAUAUGCCAUACAGCAGGUGAUUGAUGCCUAACCUACGCUGAGGUUAUAAGAUUAUAGGUGAUAUAAGUACAUGUUGAGUGUAUGUCUGUAUAGCAGGACUGGGAUCAGUUCAUUGUAAAUUCUGUUAUUCCUACAUAUACUUUUGUAAAUGGCAACGUUGAUUACAAAAAGUGCAUUUUCCAGACAAUCCUGGUUUAAAGGUUUUUGAAAACAAAAACAUUCUUCUUGGUCAGAAUGUAAAUGUUAAAUCUUCUCUCUGAUAUAAUUGAAAGUGAACUGCACAACAGCCCUGUUAUGUGACAUAAGUUAUGCCUCUUGGCCUGUGUUACCAGCUCCAAAGGGAGAUGCUGAUCAUAGAUACAUUUUAUUUUACAGUUCUUUGUUGCCAUGUGGAUAAUUCUAAACAACUGCUCAUCCACAUAUUUUUUUUAUAGUAGAUGUGACCAUAUGCAGGCCAAUGUCCUGUACUGUCAACUCAAUAACCUGCUCGAGUCCUUUAACAGCCACUGGAGUGUGUUGGAUAUACGACACACCUCUGUGCCUUCAUUUCCCUCUGCUUGGCUACAGUCACGCUGUUGGUUAUCAUAUUGCACAUAUGGUAACUCCCUGUGCAGUCUGCAUUCAAAUCUGCUAGUUAGUUUACUGUGUGAAGGUUCAGAAAUCUUACACAAAUGAGGUGAAAGGGGUUUGAAGUAGUAAGGAACCCUCAACUAAAUUAUGUAGGAAACUGUAGGAAAUUGUAGGAAAUGUAAAUAUUCCAGAUUAAACAACAUCUGGAUCCAGUUACACUCACAGCCUAUAAUCUCAGUGCAUUAUACACUGCACUCUGCCAUGACAUACAUUAGGGUCUGAUUAAGACAGUGUUACACACAUGAACCAUAUUGAACCUCAUGAGCCUGAACAGAACGACGAAGGAUCGAAGAAGCACAGAAAAACAAGAAAUCUCAACGAAUGACUAAACCAGCAUUAACUCUCUUUGUGUUCUCCUGCAAUAAAUAAACCUCACAAACAUUUUAACUUCCAAGCAGUCACCAUCACUUGAUCAUUUCUCUUGCGCACCCGCAGAUAAAUAUUUGGUGUGCAAGCAUUUCAAAACUUUAUUUCAAAAACCUGAUAUUUGUAAGUACUUGGCUACUUUUAGGUUGAUUCCCCUUUAAGAGGCUAGAAGGCUCAGGUGGAUCUGUUAUUUUUGCCUUCUGCUAACCAACUAAGUGACAUGCUAACCAGACCACUGAAAUGUAUUACUGCACAAGUCACCCUUUGUUGCUCUGAUUAUGUGUUGUUGCUGGCUGCUACCUGUAAUGUGAAAUUGCAACAGAUAGUGAUGGAUGUUAUUCCCUAUUUAAGUGAUCUAACUACAGUAGAUAUGUUUAUGCAUAUUGUUUGUAUUGUUUGUGUAAUAGUUUUUUUUUUGUAAAUCUACCUACACAUAAAGCCAUUGACUGCAAAUUUGACAAUCUUUGGUGUUAUUUUUGACCAUUUCUAAUAGCUUCUGGCUGUUUUCAAAGUUAUUUAAAGGUGCAGUGUGUGGGAUCUGGCGGCAUCUAGUGGUGAGGUUGCAGAUUGCAACCAAGUAAAACUUCUCCCAUGUGCCAAGCGUGUAGGAGAAUUAUGGUGGCCGAUGCGAAAACGUGAAUGGCCCUGUAUAGAAAAAAUGCUUGGUUUUUCCGUUCCGGGCUACUGUAGAAACAUGGCGGCCGGCUCUGUGGAGAUGACCCGCUCCCUAUGUAGAUAUAAACGUCUCAUUCUAAGCUAACGAAAACACAACGAUUCUUAUUUUCAGAUGAUUAUUAGGGGUGUAACGAUCCUUCAAUCCGGAUCGAUGGAUAUCGAAUCCAUUAUCAUUAAUGUGAAGUGAAAACAUCGAUACAUAUCAUCAUCUUUAAGAUACGCCUUUAUUUUGAAGUUCCCAUGGCACAUCUGUUUCACCAUUUCUGUCCACCUGUCCAAGUAUUCCUAAACAUCCAAACAGUGCUAAGCUUCGGUUAUGCUAUCCGCAACAAUGGCCGCACAGACAUGAGCUGACGUGGAAUCAUGACAAGGAAACUUAGUGAGCGGUGCUAGCAGCAUAACAUUAGCAAUUGUGCGGUCGGCUGAGCAAGAGAGAGAGAGGGAUAGGGAGAGAGAGAGAGAGAGAGAGACAGAGAGUGAGAGAGAAAUAGAGAGAGACACAGAGAGACAGAGAGAGAGAGAGAUAGAGAGAGAGAGAGAAUGAGAGAGAAAGAGAGAAGAGAGAGAGAGAGAGAGAGAGAGAGACACAGAGUAAAGACCCCAUAUGCCGGAUUCUCAUCUGCAGGGUAUCCAGUUUCACCCUGCAGCGUCUCCCUGGGUGGUUCCUGUGAGUUCAGGCUUGAAGCCAUGAAAGACUCACUAUUGCAACCACUGAUAGGCUGAUAGACUCUGGUGCCUAAAUAAGGCACCCGUACAGUCCAUCACUACAGU
Molecule: long non-coding RNA, 3845 nt
Organism: Sebastes umbrosus (honeycomb rockfish)
Lineage: Eukaryota; Metazoa; Chordata; Actinopteri; Perciformes; Sebastidae
Exons: 2
Source: RefSeq, a predicted model, not a curated record